UAUUGCGCAUGGGCGAAAGCCUGNGCAGCGACGCCGCGUGGGGGAUGAAGGCCUUCGGGUUGUAAACCCCUUUCAGCAGGGACGAAGCGAAAGUGACGGUACCUGCAGAAGAAGCGCCGGCUAACUACGUGCCAGCAGCCGCGGUAACACGUAGGGCGCAAGCGUUGUCCGGAAUUAUUGGGCGUAAAGAGCUCGUAGGCGGUCCGCCACGUCCGCUGUGAAAACCUAGGGCUUAACCCUGGGCUUGCAGUAGAUACNGGGCAGACUAGAGGUAGGUAGGGGAGAAUGGAAUUCCCGGUGUAGCGGUGAAAUGCGCAGAUAUCGGGAGGAACACCGGUGGCGAAGGCGGUUCUCUGGGCCUUACCUGACGCUGAGGAGCGAAAGCGUGGGGAGCAAACAGGAUUAGAUACCCUGGUAGUCCACGCCGUAAACGUUGGGCGCUAGGUGUGGGGUCCUUCCACGGAUUCCGUGCCGCAGCUAACGCAUUAAGCGCCCCGCCUGGGGAGUACGGCCGCAAGGCUAAAACUCAAAGAAAUUGACGGA
RNAcentral lists this ribosomal RNA (543 nucleotides) under uncultured bacterium. Its description in RNAcentral is "bacterial SSU rRNA". It matches the Rfam family "Bacterial small subunit ribosomal RNA", at positions 362 to 917 of the family's 1533-position model. The record is from RNAcentral.